UGCUACUGUAUCUAAGUGGUAUCUAACUGGUGCAUGUAAAGGAAAAUCCUGGUUCCCUCAAUGCUAGUGCUCUGUUUGGAUACCAGCAGGAGACUCGCAUAUGUCAGAAGCUUCUUACUUGAAUUAUGAAGCAGAUCAGAGGCCAUCACAAAAUCAUCCCAGAAGAAAAAGGCAACAUAAUGGAACAGAAAUUAAAAUACAAAUUUAAGCACAAAGCACCAGGAGAGAAAUUGCAACGUGUUCUAAUAUCUUCCAGAUGUGGAUUUCAUUACGGCUAA
This 278-nucleotide long non-coding RNA is filed under the name Coturnix japonica (Japanese quail). RNAcentral describes it as "lncRNA (ENSCJPG00005012629.1)". Lineage: Eukaryota; Metazoa; Chordata; Aves; Galliformes; Phasianidae. The record is from RNAcentral.